GCAGCCUGAUGCAGCCAUGCCGCGUGUGUGAAGAAGGCCUUCGGGUUGUAAAGCACUUUCAGUUGUGAGGAAAGGUUAGUAGUUAAUACCUGCUAGCUGUGACGUUAGCAACAGAAGAAGCACCGGCUAACUCCGUGCCAGCAGCCGCGGUAAUACGGAGGGUGCGAGCGUUAAUCGGAAUUACUGGGCGUAAAGCGUACGCAGGCGGUUUGUUAAGCGAGAUGUGAAAGCCCCGGGCUCAACCUGGGAACUGCAUUUCGAACUGGCAAACUAGAGUGUGAUAGAGGGUGGUAGAAUUUCAGGUGUAGCGGUGAAAUGCGUAGAGAUCUGAAGGAAUACCGAUGGCGAAGGCAGCCACCUGGGUCAACACUGACGCUCAUGUACGAAAGCGUGGGGAGCAAACGGGAUUAGAUACCCCGGUAGUCCACGCCGUAAACGAUGUCUACUAGGAGUUCGGUUUUUCGGAACUGUCUUCCAAAGCUAACGCAUUAAGUAGACCGCCUGGGGAGUACGGCCGCAAGGUUAAAACUCAAAUGAA
This 538-nucleotide ribosomal RNA is filed under the name Pseudoalteromonas sp. RNAcentral describes it as "bacterial SSU rRNA". It matches the Rfam family "Bacterial small subunit ribosomal RNA", at positions 378 to 909 of the family's 1533-position model. Lineage: Bacteria; Pseudomonadati; Pseudomonadota; Gammaproteobacteria; Alteromonadales; Pseudoalteromonadaceae. The record is from RNAcentral.